CUCCGGUUUCGGCCGGAGGGAGGAAAGUCCGGACAUGCCCUCUUCGGAGGAGAACGGUAGCAGGUAACGCCUGCCGUCGGUAACGAUAGAGGUGCGAACAGAGACGAGCUCGCCUUCGGGCGAGGUGAAACGGCAAAAUCCUUACCCGCAUGCAAGGCCGUGCUCCGCGCAAGCGGAGAGUGCCGCUCGAUCCCGCGCGCGAGCGCGGGACCAGAUAAAUGAUCGCCCACGACAGAAUCCGGCUUAUCGGCCAGAGCCACCA
This 262-nucleotide RNase P RNA is filed under the name Patescibacteria group bacterium. RNAcentral describes it as "partial RNase P RNA component class A". It matches the Rfam family "Bacterial RNase P class A". Rfam says of the family: Ribonuclease P (RNase P) is a ubiquitous endoribonuclease, found in archaea, bacteria and eukarya as well as chloroplasts and mitochondria. Its best characterised activity is the generation of mature 5'-ends of tRNAs by cleaving the 5'-leader elements of precursor-tRNAs. The record is from RNAcentral.